CUCCAACUCUGCUGCAACUAUAAAAGCUAGCUGCUAAACAUUAGCCAUCCUUUGCUUUUCUUGAAGCUGAAAUGCUGUAACCAGAGUCUGUCUUAAUGCUGGUGGUGCUACAGACUUCUAAAACCAUGUCACCAUACCAGGAACUCUGCCACAGAAGUGUCCAGUCAUUCCAGCCAAGUGGAUGCAAAUGUGAUGUUUUAGAACUAACCAACUGAUUAAACAAGUGGAAUCUGGUAUGCUGCUGGUAGUUGAGAAAUAGGAACCUGUAAACCGAACUGAAGUUCAUUAGUUUGUAAUAUAGAAAAUGUUUUUUUUGUUGUUUUUUGUUUUAUUAGGUUUUUAAAAAUGAGAUUUACUGAAUGUUUGACAGUUUUGUAUGUGUUCUGUGCCUUGUGUUACUUCUGUAAACGUGCAAGUUUUUAAUAAAGAUCAUUUGGUCAUUUGA
This is a long non-coding RNA of Astyanax mexicanus (Mexican tetra), 445 nucleotides long. RefSeq lists it as uncharacterized. NCBI's taxonomy places the organism in Eukaryota, Metazoa, Chordata, Actinopteri, Characiformes, Acestrorhamphidae. The transcript has 2 exons. The record is from RefSeq and is a predicted model, not a curated record.